This 709-nucleotide ribosomal RNA is filed under the name bacterium. Its description in RNAcentral is "bacterial SSU rRNA". It matches the Rfam family "Bacterial small subunit ribosomal RNA", at positions 1 to 720 of the family's 1533-position model. The record is from RNAcentral.
GGUAUCUUUUCUUUUUUACGUCGCUCGUAGCUAUACUGCAAGUCGAGCGGACUUGAUGGAGCUUGCUCCCUGUAGUUAGCGGCGGACGGGUGAGUAACACGUGGGCAACCUGCCUGUAAGACUGGGAUAACUCCGGGAAACCGGAGCUAAUACCGGAUAGUAUCUUGAACCGCGUGGUUCAGGUUGGAAAGACGGUUUCGGCUGUCACUUACAGAUGGGCCCGCGGCGCAUUAGCUAGUUGGUGAGGUAAUGGCUCACCAAGGCAACGAUGCGUAGCCGACCUGAGAGGGUGAUCGGCCACACUGGGACUGAGACACGGCCCACACUCCUACGGGAGGCAGCAGUAGGGAAUCUUCCGCAAUGGACGAAAGUCUGACGGAGCAACGCCGCGUGAGUGAUGAAGGUUUUCGGAUCGUAAAACUCUGUUGUUAGGGAAGAACAAGUGCGAGAGUAACUGCUCGCACCUUGACGGACCUAACCAGAAAGCACGGGUAAUACGUGCCCCAGCCGCGGUAAACGUAUGUGGCAAGCGUUGUCCGGAAAUAUUGGGCGUAAAGCGCGCGCAGGCGGGUUCUUCAGUCUGAUGUGAAAGCCCCCGGCUCACCCGGGGAGGGUCACUGGAGACUGGGAAACUUGAGUGCCCAAAAGGAGAGUGGAAUUCCCGUGUAGCGGUGGAAGUGCUCAGAUGUGGAGGAAACCCCUGGCCAAG